RNAcentral lists this unclassified non-coding RNA (157 nucleotides) under uncultured Mortierella. Its description in RNAcentral is "sequence contains ITS1". Lineage: Eukaryota; Fungi; Mortierellomycota; Mortierellomycetes; Mortierellales; Mortierellaceae. The record is from RNAcentral.
UAACGAGUGUUUAUGGCACUCUAAAAAUCCAUACCCACCUUGUGUGCAGCGUUAAGAGUCUUUUGUCUCUCUCUGAGGGCACGAGAUUUCUUUUAAUUAAUCUACCUUAAACCAGUUUGUCUGAAGCAUUGUAUCAUGAAUAACAUAAUUCAAAAUA